CUGAGUACUACACUCUCUACCCUUUGUGAACUAUUAUACCUGUUGCUUCGGCGGCGCCCGCAAGGGUGCCCGCCGGUCUCAUCAGAAUCUCUGUUUUCGAACCCGACGAUACUUCUGAGUGUUCUUAGCGAACUGUCAAAACUUUUAACAACGGAUCUCUUGGCUCCAGCAUCGAUGAAGAACGCAGCGAAACGCGAUAUGUAAUGUGAAUUGCAGAAUUCAGUGAAUCAUCGAAUCUUUGAACGCACAUGGCGCCUUCCAGUAUCCUGGGAGGCAUGCCUGUCCGAGCGUCGUUUCAACCCUCGAGCCCCUGUGGCCCGGCGUUGGGGAUCUGCCACGGCAGGCCCCUAAAACCAGUGGCGGACCCGAAGGGCCCUCUCCUUUGCGCAGUAGCAUUCGCCUCGCAUCGGGAGUCCUCGGCGUCCUGCCUCUAAACCCCCCACAAGCCCGCUUCGGCGGCAC
RNAcentral lists this unclassified non-coding RNA (462 nucleotides) under Plectosphaerella cucumerina. RNAcentral describes it as "partial contains ITS1, 5.8S rRNA and ITS2". The stretch from base 140 to 293 matches the Rfam family "5.8S ribosomal RNA". Lineage: Eukaryota; Fungi; Ascomycota; Sordariomycetes; Glomerellales; Plectosphaerellaceae. RNAcentral also lists the same sequence under 2 other names. The record is from RNAcentral.